Molecule: non-coding RNA, 32 nt
Filed under: Rattus norvegicus (Norway rat)
Lineage: Eukaryota; Metazoa; Chordata; Mammalia; Rodentia; Muridae
Source: RNAcentral
AAGAAAGCAGGCUGAACAAGCCACAAGGAGCA